Puntigrus tetrazona (Sumatra barb) is the source of this 1390-nucleotide long non-coding RNA. RefSeq lists it as uncharacterized. Lineage: Eukaryota; Metazoa; Chordata; Actinopteri; Cypriniformes; Cyprinidae. The record is from RefSeq and is a predicted model, not a curated record. The transcript has 3 exons.
AUUACUAUGACUUGCUACUGCCAAUAUUUCCACAACAUGCUGCUGCUGAGCAGGGACGGUUCUAAGGUGAGUGGAUAUUUGUUAGAAUACACUUUAAAUAAAAUAUAUUUAAAAGUCACAUUGGCUAAUAAAAUAAUAUCAAUGCUAAGUAAUAUUUAUUUGCAGCAACUGUUGGAACACUGAAUGCCACAGGUAAAAAAAGGUAAAAAAGUACACUUCUAUAAUGUAACACACUUUUUGCACACUAAUUUUGUACUUAAUAUACUAAAAAGGAUUCUUUAGUACUUCUUAAGAUAAAAAAGUAGAAUAUUGUAGAAUCAUGUUGCCCUAAAAUAUCACACUUUUAACAUACUAUUUUUAUUUUUAAAAAUUUAUUUAUUUACCUCUUGCAGCACACUUAAAAGCAUAUUUCAUACAAUAGUACACUCAAGUGUAAUAUAAGUGGUAACUAAAUAAAUAUUAGCCUUGCGUUCCGUUAACAAGUACGAUGGCCAGUCCAAAGGCAAAGGCAGGGAGGCAGGCAAUGGGUCAAUAAACAGCACAUCAGUCCGAUCACGCAACCAAACCAAUAGGGUAAAUCCAGGGUUUGAGAAACAGGUAGACAGGCAGAAAUCAUACACAAUAGUAAUAAUCAGAGUCAAAUGAAGGGAAUGCUCAGUAAGGCAGGUAAACUGGCAAAUGGAGGACCUCUGGUUACGAAGCCCUCAAACAGGAAAUGGGCACAGAGGAAGCCAGAGGGUUGAGCACUGCUAGUACUCGGGGCUACCUCUGCUGGUUACAUCGUUCUAAAAUGUAUCCUAAACAGAAAAGGGUUCUCAAUGGAUAUUGCUGUUUGAAGGCUCCCCUCCUGUGGCUGAUAAUGCUUCUGCAGAUGUAGUAUUUUGUCACCUUCUCUUUCCAUACCACAGAAGAUCUGAGUUUCGCUGAUGUGGUGUGUAAGACUGGAACACCGGAGGAGGUCGUGGCAGGUGAGUUGCGACAUGCGACGGGAAAGAGGACCCCCUAAUCAGUUGCAGGACCAGUACAUGCUUGGCCCAAAGACAUCCCUUAAGAUGGCCAUAUGCCCCAGGAGCCUCUGAAAAUACUUCAGUGGAACCAACGUCCUACUCUUAAACCUAUUCAGGCAGUUCAACACCGACUGAGCAUGUUCAUGCAUGAGAUGUGCUGUUUGUUUGACCGAAUUUAACUCAAUACAUUAACUCAUACAAGAGAAUCUCUGUAUCGGACAGAAUUUACUCUUCUCCAAGUUAACCCGAAGACCCAGCAAGGCUAAUAUUUAUUUAGUUACCACUUAUAUUACACGUGAGUGUACUAUUGUAUGAAAUAUGCUUUUAAGUGUGCUGCAAGAUAAAUUAAUAAAUUUUUUAAAAUAAAAAUAGUACGUUAAAAG